This 77-nucleotide transfer RNA is filed under the name Anaerolineaceae bacterium. RNAcentral's name for it is "tRNA-Val". It matches the Rfam family "tRNA". From Rfam's summary of the family: Transfer RNA (tRNA) molecules are approximately 80 nucleotides in length. Their secondary structure includes four short double-helical elements and three loops (D, anti-codon, and T loops). Lineage: Bacteria; Bacillati; Chloroflexota; Anaerolineae; Anaerolineales; Anaerolineaceae. The record is from RNAcentral. RNAcentral also lists the same sequence under 1 other name.
GGUCGCGUAGUUCAGUUGGUUAGAACGCACGGUUCACAUCCGUGAGGUCACAGGUUCGAGUCCUGUCGCGACCACCA